GCGGGUGUAGCUCAAUGGUAGAGCAGCAGCUUCCCAAGCUGACAACGAGGGUUCGAUUCCCUUCACCCGCUCCA
RNAcentral lists this transfer RNA (74 nucleotides) under Hyphomonas sp. RNAcentral's name for it is "tRNA-Gly". It matches the Rfam family "tRNA". From Rfam's summary of the family: Transfer RNA (tRNA) molecules are approximately 80 nucleotides in length. Their secondary structure includes four short double-helical elements and three loops (D, anti-codon, and T loops). Further hydrogen bonds mediate the characteristic L-shaped molecular structure. tRNAs have two regions of fundamental functional importance: the anti-codon, which is responsible for specific mRNA codon recognition, and the 3' end, to which the tRNAs corresponding amino acid is attached (by aminoacyl-tRNA synthetases). tRNAs cope with the degeneracy of the genetic code in two manners: having more than one tRNA (with a specific anti-codon) for a particular amino acid; and 'wobble' base-pairing, i.e. permitting non-standard base-pairing at the 3rd anti-codon position. The record is from RNAcentral. RNAcentral also lists the same sequence under 10 other names. Lineage: Bacteria; Pseudomonadati; Pseudomonadota; Alphaproteobacteria; Hyphomonadales; Hyphomonadaceae.